AAGAUUUUAAGUUAAUAAAAACUAUUAAUCUUCAAAAUUAAAAAUAUUAAUAAUUUUAAUAAAUCUUA
This 68-nucleotide transfer RNA is filed under the name Bombus filchnerae. RNAcentral's name for it is "tRNA-Trp". Lineage: Eukaryota; Metazoa; Arthropoda; Insecta; Hymenoptera; Apidae. The record is from RNAcentral.